Molecule: ribosomal RNA, 500 nt
Filed under: uncultured bacterium
Lineage: Bacteria
Description: partial 16S ribosomal RNA
Rfam family: Bacterial small subunit ribosomal RNA
Source: RNAcentral
GACGAACGCUGGCGGCGUGCUUAACCCAUGCAAGUCGAACGGGCCUGUCUUCUUUUUUGGGGGGUGGGUUGAGUGGCGAACGGGUGAGUAUCACGUGAGUAACCUGCCCUUCGGUCCUGGAUAACCGCUUGAAAGGGCGGCUAAUACGGGGUGGUCCGGUUGGUCCGCAUGGGCUGGUCGGGAUAGAUUCACUGUUUUUGGUGUUUCGGCGGGGGAUGGGCUCGCGGCCUAUCAGCUUGUUGGUGGGGUGAUGGCCCACCAAGGCGGUGACGGGUAGCCGGCCUGAGAGGGUGGGCGGCCACACUGGGACUGAGAUACGGCCCAGACUCCUGCGGGAGGCAGCAGUGGGGGGUAUUGCACAAUGGGCGGAAGCCUGAUGCAGCGACGUCGCGUGAGGGAUGGAGGCCUUCGGGUUGUGAACCUCUGUUUCCGGUGGUGAAGGCCCUGUCCGUGUGGUGGGGUUGACGGUAGCCGGGGAUGAAGCGCCGGCUAACUACGUG